Molecule: long non-coding RNA, 598 nt
Filed under: Homo sapiens (human)
Lineage: Eukaryota; Metazoa; Chordata; Mammalia; Primates; Hominidae
Description: HSALNT0056826
Source: RNAcentral
GUAAGUACUGAGAACUGCAUUCCCAGAGUUUUAACAACUUACAGAAAAGUGAAUUGAAUUUCUGAAGCCUGGGAAAUGAUAAGAGAGAGGUGAAAGAGAGAUAGUGUGCUAAUGACCCUAGAGAGUUUGAAAAACGUUAUGGUCAGGUCUUUUGAGAGAAUCUCCUAAAAGGAGAUAAUGGGCAUGGCUGAAUCUGUAAAGAAAGUAUCUUGCUAUCAAGUGCCUGAGAGCAUGGCAAUCAAGAACCAGCGGCAGUCAGCCAGAACCUGCCCCUGAGCAGAGUCUUGCUCUGUCCCCCAGGCUGGAGUGCUAUGACACAAUCUCGGCUCACAGAAACCUCUGCCUCCCAGACUCUGGUGGUCCUCUCGCCUCAGCCUCCUGCCUCAGUCUCCGGCCUCAGCUCCCCGAGUAGCUAUAGAUAAUUUAAUGGAGAACUGGCAUCACUACUUGAUCGAGUCUUCCAGCUCCUGAACACAGGAUUCACCCCAGCCUUCCCUAGAGAGAAGGCUUCUUCUCUCCCGUAGUCCCCAGGCCAGGUGGAACAACCAGUGCUCUGGUUGAAGACCUCUACAGGUAGACAGGUGGCAAGAUACUGCUU